Molecule: non-coding RNA, 28 nt
Filed under: Bombyx mori (domestic silkworm)
Lineage: Eukaryota; Metazoa; Arthropoda; Insecta; Lepidoptera; Bombycidae
Source: RNAcentral
UGUUCUGAAAUUGGACUGAGGUUGAAAC